Long non-coding RNA from Aedes aegypti (yellow fever mosquito), 422 nucleotides. RefSeq lists it as uncharacterized. The transcript is spliced from 2 exons. The record is from RefSeq and is a predicted model, not a curated record. Lineage: Eukaryota; Metazoa; Arthropoda; Insecta; Diptera; Culicidae.
UGAGUUGUCAGAUAAAGGGUAUUUCUUAAAUGUCAUAAAAAGGGUACUUAAUCCCCAUGAUGAAGUUUCUAUUCGUUGAACAAUAAUGGGUAUAUAAUACGCCAGGACAGUUUGAAGAAAAUCACCGUCAUUUUGCAGUGGCUUUUGCGGUGCCGCGUCAUUUUGGUGAUCUGAACUUUUGUUUUUGCUGCCGGAACUAUUUGUUGUGGUGUGAAAAUGCUGCUCGAUAUGCUACUAGCGAUCAUAUUUACGAAAUACUUGUCAAGAAGGCGGCUAUGGAUGGGCCAAUCUCCGGAGCCGUUGUCCAAUGUCAGUCAGUUGGAGCAUCUACGAUUGGAUCUUACAAAUUUUAAAAUGAUAUUUAAUUGUGAUGAUGAAAAUAUUAGCUUGUGAAAUAAUAAAUAUGUAAUGUUUUAUGUUUA